Non-coding RNA from Aegilops tauschii subsp. strangulata, 851 nucleotides. Lineage: Eukaryota; Viridiplantae; Streptophyta; Magnoliopsida; Poales; Poaceae. The record is from RefSeq and is a predicted model, not a curated record.
UAUGAUAAAUAAAUAAAAUACUUGUAAGGAAAACAAGAUAUUGUGAAAAAAAACUGGUCAAAAUAAUUGGUAUAAGCAUUGUUUUUUUGCCAAGAUAAAGCACAUUCAUUUGGUAAUCAUGCAAAUGGCAGGCAAGAUGUGUUGAGUUUCUUCUUCAUUUACAUUGGUAAAAUGAUACCAGAAAGGCAUAAAUUGAGAAAUGCCUUCAAACAUUAAGUUUUAGCUAUCCAAAGUACUACAGAAAGUACGGAAUAUGGUACGAUUUUACAAAAAAUACUUUUCAUCAAACAAUUUCCCUCAGUGCAGCUCGACGGCUAGCUGUUUGAAAAGGGAGGGACAGAUGUUAUGUGGGGCCACACCUACAGGAGGGCCACGGCUGUAACUUAAGGGGGUAAGUAUGUUCACGUUUUCUAUUGCUACAAUACAAUUUAAAUCAUCCAACUCCAUACCAGUGCUACUCCAAACAGAAGCUGGAAUGAUUUUUUAUGGAUUUUACAAGUUCAGCAGGUUGAGGAUUUUUUUUGAAACUUCUAUGCACAGGGAAGACUAGCCUUAUUCUGAAACUGUGAGGAGCAAGUGAAUUAAACGCUCAAGGCCAGGAGCAGCAAGCCACAAAGGCAAGCAGCAGCGGCAAGCAAAACAAACAACCAGCAGCAGCAAGCGGCAAAGCAAGCAGCCAGCAGUGGCAACAACAGCAGCAAAGCAAGCCAGUAUCGAACAGUAGCAGCCAGCAGCAGGCAGAGACGACUCCUCACCUUGUUGUUCAUGGCGGCCUGGUCGGACGGAUCAGGGAGGCGAGAGGACGGACGGCAGCGAGUUCUGGACGGCCUCAAUGGCGGUCAGCGGUCGAG